This 301-nucleotide ribosomal RNA is filed under the name uncultured bacterium. Its description in RNAcentral is "partial 16S ribosomal RNA". It matches the Rfam family "Bacterial small subunit ribosomal RNA", at positions 509 to 807 of the family's 1533-position model. The record is from RNAcentral.
CAGUCGCCACGGGAAUACGGAGGGGGCUAGCGUUGUUCGGAAUUACUGGGCGUAAAGCGCACGUAGGCGGCUUUGUAAGUCAGAGGUGAAAGCCCGGGGCUCAACCCCGGAAUUGCCUUUGAGACUGCAUCGCUUGAAUCCAGGAGAGGUGAGUGGAAUUCCGAGUGUAGAGGUGAAAUUCGUAGAUAUUCGGAAGAACACCAGUGGCGAAGGCGGCUCACUGGACUGGUAUUGACGCUGAGGUGCGAAAGCGUGGGGAGCAAACAGGAUUAGAUACCCCGGUAGUCCCUGUCUCUUAUAC